CCUGCACGAAUGGCGUAAUGAUGGCCAGGCUGUCUCCACCCGAGACUCAGUGAAAUUGAACUCGCUGUGAAGAUGCAGUGUACCCGCGGCAAGACGGAAAGACCCCGUGAACCUUUACUAUAGCUUGACACUGAACAUUGAGCCUUGAUGUGUAGGAUAGGUGGGAGGCUUUGAAGCGUGGACGCCAGUCUGCGUGGAGCCGACCUUGAAAUACCACCCUUUAAUGUUUGAUGUUCUAACGUGGACCCGUGAUCCGGGUUGCGGACAGUGUCUGGUGGGUAGUUUGACUGGGGCGGUCUCCUCCUAAAGAGUAACGGAGGAGCACGAAGGUUGGCUAAUCCUGGUCGGACAUCAGGAGGUUAGUGCAAUG
RNAcentral lists this ribosomal RNA (370 nucleotides) under Salmonella enterica subsp. enterica serovar Newport. RNAcentral describes it as "bacterial LSU rRNA". It matches the Rfam family "Bacterial large subunit ribosomal RNA", at positions 1987 to 2356 of the family's 2925-position model. The record is from RNAcentral. Lineage: Bacteria; Pseudomonadati; Pseudomonadota; Gammaproteobacteria; Enterobacterales; Enterobacteriaceae.